UGAGCUGGGAAGGGUCUACGAUUUACUAGAGGUAAGACCAACUGGCACCGGAUGUGAGCUGGGAAGGGUCUACGAUUUACUAGAGGUAAGACCAACUGGCACCGGAUGUGAGCUGGGAAGGGUCUACGAUUUACUAGAGGUAAGA
This is a long non-coding RNA of Oncorhynchus tshawytscha (Chinook salmon), 145 nucleotides long. RefSeq lists it as uncharacterized. The transcript has 2 exons. The record is from RefSeq and is a predicted model, not a curated record. Lineage: Eukaryota; Metazoa; Chordata; Actinopteri; Salmoniformes; Salmonidae.